Molecule: unclassified non-coding RNA, 349 nt
Filed under: soil metagenome
Description: partial contains 5.8S ribosomal RNA, internal transcribed spacer 2, and large subunit ribosomal RNA
Rfam family: 5.8S ribosomal RNA (bases 1-120)
Source: RNAcentral
GAUGAAGAACGUAGUGAAAUGCGAUACGUAAUGUGAAUUGCAGAAUUCAGUGAAUCAUCGAGUCUUUGAACGCACAUUGCGCCCCCUGGUAUUCCGGGGGGCAUGCCUGUCCGAGCGUCAUUGCUGCCCUUAAGCACGGCUUGUGUGUUGGGCCUCCGCCCCCCGGCUCCCGGGGGGCGGGCCCGAAAGGCAGCGGCGGCACCGCGUCCGGUCCUCGAGCGUAUGGGGCUUCGUCACCCGCUCCGUAGGCCCGGCCGGCGCCCGCCGGCGACCCCCCUCAAUCUUUCCAGGUUGACCUCGGAUCAGGUAGGGAUACCCGCUGAACUUAAGCAUAUCAAUAAGCGGAGGA